RNAcentral lists this ribosomal RNA (439 nucleotides) under uncultured bacterium. RNAcentral's name for it is "partial 16S ribosomal RNA". It matches the Rfam family "Bacterial small subunit ribosomal RNA", at positions 339 to 795 of the family's 1533-position model. The record is from RNAcentral.
CUACGGGCGGCAGCAGUGGGGAAUAUUGCACAAUGGAGGAAACUCUGAUGCAGCAACGCCGCGUGGAGGAUGACACUUUUCGGAGCGUAAACUCCUUUUAUAUAGGAAGAAGAUGACGGUACUAUAUGAAUAAGCGCCGGCUAACUCCGUGCCAGCAGCCGCGGUAAUACGGGGGGCGCAAGCGUUACUCGGAAUCACUGGGCGUAAAGAGCGUGUAGGCGGAUUAAAAAGUCAGAAGUGAAAUCCUAUAGCUUAACUAUAGAACUGCUUCUGAAACUCUUAAUCUAGAAUAUGGGAGAGGUAGAUGGAAUUUCUGGUGUAGGGGUAAAAUCCGUAGAGAUCAGAAGGAAUACCGAUUGCGAAGGCGAUCUACUAGAGCAUUAUUGACGCUGAGACGCGAAAGCGUGGGGAGCAAACAGGAUUAGAUACCCUUGUAGUC